This 426-nucleotide ribosomal RNA is filed under the name uncultured bacterium. RNAcentral's name for it is "bacterial SSU rRNA". It matches the Rfam family "Bacterial small subunit ribosomal RNA", at positions 354 to 796 of the family's 1533-position model. The record is from RNAcentral.
GUAGGGAAUAUUGCUCAAUGGGCGAAAGCCUGAAGCAGCAACGCCGCGUGUGCGACGAAGGUCUUCGGAUCGUAAAGCACUUUUCGGGGAGAUGAGAAAGGACAGUAUCCCCGGAAUAAGCCUCGGCUAACUACGUGCCAGCAGCCGCGGUAAAACGUAGGAGGCGAGCGUUAUCCGGAUUCACUGGGCGUAAAGCGCGUGCAGGUGGUCUGGCAAGUUGGAUGUGAAAGCUCCCGGCUCAACUGGGAGAGGCCGUUCAAUACUACCGGACUUGAGGUCAGUAGAGGAAGAUGGAAUUCCCGGUGUAGUGGUGAAAUGCGUAGAUAUCGGGAGGAACACCAGUGGCGAAAGCGAUCUUCUGGACUGAUUCUGACACUCAGACGCGAAAGCUAGGGGAGCGAACGGGAUUAGAAACCCCUGUAGUCC